UGGGGAAUUUUGGACAAUGGGGGAAACCCUGAUACAGCCAUCCCGCGUGUGCGAUGAAGGCCUUCGGGUUGUAAAGCACUCUUGGCAGGAAAGAAACGUCAUGGGUUAAUACCCCGCGAAACCGACGGAACCCGCAGAAUAAGCACCGGCUAACUACGUGCCAGCAGCCGCGGUAAUACGUAGGGUGCAAGCGUUAAUCGGAAUUACUGCGCGUAAAGCGUGCGCAGGCGGUUCGGAAAGAAAGAUGUGAAAUCCCAGAGCUCAACUUUGGAACUGCAUUUUUAACUACCGGGCUAGAGUGUGUCAGAGGGAGGUAGAAUUCCGCGUGUAGCAGUGAAAUGCGUAGAUAUGCGGAGGAACACCGAUGGCGAAGGCAGCCUCCUGGGAUAACACUGACGCUCAUGCACGAAAGCGUGGGGCGCAAACAGG
This 429-nucleotide ribosomal RNA is filed under the name Acidobacteriota bacterium. RNAcentral's name for it is "Acidobacteria bacterium partial 16S ribosomal RNA". It matches the Rfam family "Bacterial small subunit ribosomal RNA", at positions 355 to 776 of the family's 1533-position model. The record is from RNAcentral. Lineage: Bacteria; Pseudomonadati; Acidobacteriota.